This 85-nucleotide small nucleolar RNA is filed under the name Hordeum vulgare subsp. vulgare (domesticated barley). The record is from RNAcentral. Lineage: Eukaryota; Viridiplantae; Streptophyta; Magnoliopsida; Poales; Poaceae.
GCUCAGAUGAUAUGCUAAAACAACAAGGUGUUCCUGAGAUUUCUCUUUGAGGAUUACAAAAUCGAGCUUUUUAAAGCUGAUGGCU